This 849-nucleotide ribosomal RNA is filed under the name uncultured bacterium. Its description in RNAcentral is "bacterial SSU rRNA". It matches the Rfam family "Bacterial small subunit ribosomal RNA", at positions 46 to 898 of the family's 1533-position model. The record is from RNAcentral.
GCUAUCAUGCAGUCGAGGGGCAGCACAGGUAGCAAUACUGGGUGGCGACCGGCAAACGGGUGCGGAACACGUACGUAACCUUCCUUUAAGUGGGAGAUAGCCCGAAGAAAUUCGGAUUAAUACCCCAUAAGAUUGUGGAAUGGCAUCAUUCAGCAAUUAAAGAAAUUCGCUUAAAGAUGGGCGUGCGGCUGAUUAGGUAGUUGGUGAGGUAACGGCUCACCAAGCCAACGAUCAGUAACUGGCGUGAGAGCGCGACCAGUCACACGGGCACUGAGACACGGGCCCGACUCCUACGGGAGGCAGCAGUAAGGAAUAUUGGUCAAUGGACGCAAGUCUGAACCAGCCAUGCCGCGUGAAGGAUGAAGGUCCUCUGGAUUGUAAACUUCUUUUAUAUGGGAAGAAACCACUUUUUUCUAAAGGUGUUGACGGUACCAUAGGAAUAAGCACCGGCUAACUCCGUGCCAGCAGCCGCGGUAAUACGGAGGGUGCAAGCGUUAUCCGGAUUCACUGGGUUUAAAGGGUGCGUAGGCGGAUUAGUAAGUCCGUGGUGAAAUCUCCGAGCUUAACUCGGAAACUGCCGUGGAUACUAUUAAUCUUGAAUACUGUGGAGGUUAGCGGAAUAUGUCAUGUAGCGGUGAAAUGCAUAGAUAUGACAUAGAACACCAAUUGCGAAGGCAGCUGGCUACACAGAGAUUGACGCUGAGGCACGAAAGCGUGGGGAUCAAACAGGAUUAGAUACCCUGGUAGUCCACGCCCUAAACGAUGAUUACUCGACAUUUGCGAUAUACAGUAAGUGUCUGAGCGAAAGCAUUAAGUAAUCCACCUGGGAAGUACGACCGCAAGGUUGAA